GGGUUGUGAGGUUAAGCGACUAAGCGUACACGGUGGAUGCCCUGGCAGUCAGAGGCGAUGAAGGACGUGCUAAUCUGCGAAAAGCGUCGGUAAGGUGAUAUGAACCGUUACAGCCGGCGAUGUCCGAAUGGGGAAACCCAGUGCAAUUCGUUGCACUAUCGUUAACUGAAUACAUAGGUUAACGAGGCGAACCGGGGGAACUGAAACAUCUAAGUACCCCGAGGAAAAGAAAUCAACCGAGAUUCCCCCAGUAGCGGCGAGCGAACGGGGAGCAGCCCAGAGUCUGAAUCAGCUUGUGUGUUAGUGGAACGGUCUGGAAAGUCCGACGGUACAGGGUGAUAGUCCCGUACACCAAAAUGCACAGGUUGUGAACUCGAAGAGUAGGGCGGGACACGUGGUAUCCUGUCUGAAUAUGGGGGGACCAUCCUCCAAGGCUAAAUACUCCUGACUGACCGAUAGUGAACCAGUACCGUGAGGGAAAGGCGAAAAGAACCCCGGCGAGGGGAGUGAAAAAGAACCUGAAACCGUGUACGUACAAGCAGUGGGAGCACCUUCGGGUGUGACUGCGUACCUUUUGUAUAAUGGGUCAGCGACUUAUAUUCUGUAGCAAGGUUAACCGUAUAGGGGAGCCGCAGGGAAACCGAGUCUUAACUGGGCGUUAAGUUGCAGGGUAUAGACCCGAAACCCGGUGAUCUAGCCAUGGGCAGGUUGAAGGUUGGGUAACACUAACUGGAGGACCGAACCGACUAAUGUUGAAAAAUUAGCGGAUGACUUGUGGCUGGGGGUGAAAGGCCAAUCAAACCGGGAGAUAGCUGGUUCUCCCCGAAAGCUAUUUAGGUAGCGCCUCGUGAAUUCAUCUUCGGGGGUAGAGCACUGUUUCGGCUAGGGGGUCAUCCCGACUUACCAACCCGAUGCAAACUACGAAUACCGAAGAAUGUUAUCACGGGAGACACACGGCGGGUGCUAACGUCCGUCGUGAAGAGGGAAACAACCCAGACCGCCAGCUAAGGUCCCAAAGUCAUGGUUAAGUGGGAAACGAUGUGGGAAGGCACAGACAGCCAGGAUGUUGGCUUAGAAGCAGCCAUCAUUUAAAGAAAGCGUAAUAGCUCACUGGUCGAGUCGGCCUGCGCGGAAGAUGUAACGGGGCUAAACCAUGCACCGAAGCUGCGGCAGCGACACUAUGUGUUGUUGGGUAGGGGAGCGUUCUGUAAGCCUGCGAAGGUGACCUGUGAGGGUUGCUGGAGGUAUCAGAAGUGCGAAUGCUGACAUAAGUAACGAUAAAGCGGGUGAAAAGCCCGCUCGCCGGAAGACCAAGGGUUCCUGUCCAACGUUAAUCGGGGCAGGGUGAGUCGACCCCUAAGGCGAGGCCGAAAGGCGUAGUCGAUGGGAAACAGGUUAAUAUUCCUGUACUUGGUGUUACUGCGAAGGGGGGACGGAGAAGGCUAUGUUAGCCGGGCGACGGUUGUCCCGGUUUAAGCAUGUAGGCUGGUUAUCCAGGCAAAUCCGGAUAAUCAAGGCUGAGGUGUGAUGACGAGGCACUACGGUGCUGAAGUAACAAAUGCCCUGCUUCCAGGAAAAGCCUCUAAGCAUCAGGUAACAUCAAAUCGUACCCCAAACCGACACAGGUGGUCAGGUAGAGAAUACCAAGGCGCUUGAGAGAACUCGGGUGAAGGAACUAGGCAAAAUGGUGCCGUAACUUCGGGAGAAGGCACGCUGGUGUGUAGGUGAAGCCCCUGCGGGUGGAGCUGAGACCAGUCGAAGAUACCAGCUGGCUGCAACUGUUUAUUAAAAACACAGCACUGUGCAAACACGAAAGUGGACGUAUACGGUGUGACGCCUGCCCGGUGCCGGAAGGUUAAUUGAUGGGGUUAUCCGUAAGGAGAAGCUCUUGAUCGAAGCCCCGGUAAACGGCGGCCGUAACUAUAACGGUCCUAAGGUAGCGAAAUUCCUUGUCGGGUAAGUUCCGACCUGCACGAAUGGCGUAAUGAUGGCCAGGCUGUCUCCACCCGAGACUCAGUGAAAUUGAACUCGCUGUGAAGAUGCAGUGUACCCGCGGCAAGACGGAAAGACCCCGUGAACCUUUACUAUAGCUUGACACUGAACAUUGAGCCUUGAUGUGUAGGAUAGGUGGGAGGCUUUGAAGCGUGGACGCCAGUCUGCGUGGAGCCAACCUUGAAAUACCACCCUUUAAUGUUUGAUGUUCUAACGUUGGCCCCUUACCGGGGUUGCGGACAGUGUCUGGUGGGUAGUUUGACUGGGGCGGUCUCCUCCCAAAGCGUAACGGAGGAGCACGAAGGUUAGCUAAUCCUGGUCGGACAUCAGGAGGUUAGUGCAAUGGCAUAAGCUAGCUUGACUGCGAGCGUGACGGCGCGAGCAGGUGCGAAAGCAGGUCAUAGUGAUCCGGUGGUUCUGAAUGGAAGGGCCAUCGCUCAACGGAUAAAAGGUACUCCGGGGAUAACAGGCUGAUACCGCCCAAGAGUUCAUAUCGACGGCGGUGUUUGGCACCUCGAUGUCGGCUCAUCACAUCCUGGGGCUGAAGUAGGUCCCAAGGGUAUGGCUGUUCGCCAUUUAAAGUGGUACGCGAGCUGGGUUUAGAACGUCGUGAGACAGUUCGGUCCCUAUCUGCCGUGGGCGCUGGAGAAUUGAGGGGGGCUGCUCCUAGUACGAGAGGACCGGAGUGGACGCAUCACUGGUGUUCGGGUUGUCAUGCCAAUGGCACUGCCCGGUAGCUAAAUGCGGAAGAGAUAAGUGCUGAAAGCAUCUAAGCACGAAACUUGCCCCGAGAUGAGUUCUCCCUGAGACUUUAAGUCUCCUGAAGGAACGUUAAAGACGAUGACGUUGAUAGGCCGGGUGUGUAAGCGCAGCGAUGCGUUGAGCUAACCGGUACUAAUGAACCGUGAGGCUUAACCUUACAACGCCGAAG
RNAcentral lists this ribosomal RNA (2923 nucleotides) under Klebsiella pneumoniae. RNAcentral describes it as "bacterial LSU rRNA". It matches the Rfam family "Bacterial large subunit ribosomal RNA". Lineage: Bacteria; Pseudomonadati; Pseudomonadota; Gammaproteobacteria; Enterobacterales; Enterobacteriaceae. The record is from RNAcentral.